UACGAAGGGGGCUAGCGUUGCUCGGAAUUACUGGGCGUAAAGCGCUCGUAGGCGGUUUGUUAAGUCGGGGGUGAAAUCCUGGAGCUCAACUCCAGAACUGCCUUCGAUACUGGCGAUCUCGAGUUCGGGAGAGGUGAGUGGAACUGCGAGUGUAGAGGUGAAAUUCGUAGAUAUUCGCAAGAACACCAGUGGCGAAGGCGGCUCACUGGCCCGAUACUGACGCUGAGGUGCGAAAGCGUGGGGAGCAAACAGG
This 253-nucleotide ribosomal RNA is filed under the name uncultured bacterium. Its description in RNAcentral is "partial 16S ribosomal RNA". It matches the Rfam family "Bacterial small subunit ribosomal RNA", at positions 524 to 776 of the family's 1533-position model. The record is from RNAcentral.